Molecule: ribosomal RNA, 1032 nt
Filed under: uncultured archaeon
Lineage: Archaea
Description: bacterial SSU rRNA
Rfam family: Archaeal small subunit ribosomal RNA
Source: RNAcentral
CCUACGGGGCGCAGCAGGCGCGAAACCUUCGCAAUGCGCGAAAGCGCGACGAGGGGAGCCCGAGUGCCCUUCCUUCGGGGAGGGCUUUUCCGGAGUCUAAAAAGCUCCGGGAAUAAGGGCUGGGCAAGACGGGUGCCAGCCGCCGCGGUAAUACCCGCAGCUCAAGUGGUGGCCACUAUUAUUGAGCCUAAAGCGUCCGUAGCCGGACCUGUAAAUCCCUGGGUAAAUCCUGGCGCUCAACGUCAGGAAUUCCGGGGAGACUGCGGGUCUUGGGACCGGGAGAGGCCGGAGGUACUCCCGGGGUAGGGGUGAAAUCCUGUAAUCCCGGGGGGACCACCUGUGGCGAAAGCGUCCGGCUUGAACGGCUCCGACGGUGAGGGACGAAGGCCAGGGGAGCAAACCGGAUUAGAUACCCGGGUAGUCCUGGCUGUAAACGCUGCCCGCUUGGUGUUGCCGGUCUUUCGGGGGCCGGCAGUGCCGGAGCGAAGGUGUUAAGCGGGCCGCUUGGGGAGUACGGCCGCAAGGCUGAAACUUAAAGGAAUUGGCGGGGGAGCACUGCAACGGGAGGAGCGUGCGGUUUAAUUGGAUUCAACGCCGGAAAACUCACCGGGGGCGACCGGCAUAUGUGGGCCAGGCUGACGACCUUGCCCGAAUAAGAGCCGGAGAGGUGGUGCAUGGCCAUCGUCAGCUCGUACCGUAGGGCGUUCACUUAAGUGUGAUAACGAGCGAGACCCCCAUCCCCAGUUGCCACCUGUCCCUCCGGGGGCAGAGCACACUGGGGAGACCGCCGGCGCUAAGCCGGAGGAAGGUGGGGUCAGCGGUAGGUCAGUACGCCCCGAAUCCCCCGGGCUACACGCGCGCUACAAAGGGCGGGACAAUGGGUUGCGACCCCGAAAGGGGGAGCUAAUCCCGAAACCCGUCCGUAGUUCAGAUCGAGGGCUGUAACUCGCCCUCGUGAAGCUGGAUUCCGUAGUAAUCGCGGGUCAACAUCCCGCGGUGAAUGCGCCCCUGCUCCUUGCACACACCGCCCGU